Erinaceus europaeus (western European hedgehog) is the source of this 335-nucleotide non-coding RNA. NCBI's taxonomy places the organism in Eukaryota, Metazoa, Chordata, Mammalia, Eulipotyphla, Erinaceidae. The record is from Rfam.
AGAUGUAAGGACAAUUUGGCUGUAAUGUCUGUUACCCCAUUUGAUCACCAGAGUUGAUUCAGCAGAUCUGUCUGCUUAGGCAGGUGUCCCCUUCCUUCCUCACUGCUCAAUGAGUGCCCCUUCUAAAAACUAGGUGGGGAGGACAGCCUUUCCUGAAUAGAGAUGGACUGGUUUCUGGUCAGAGGUAUAGGAACAGCUGUGAUUUCCUUCUAGAACAUCCAAAACAAGCUCUGAAUGUCAAUAUCCCCUGGUCUCAUCAAAAUCUGACUCUCUUCCUUCACAGUUGACCCUAUUGGUGACCUUAAUAAUUUGCUUAGAAUCUGAUGUCUUCCUUU